AUUGAACGCUGGCGGCAUGCCUUACACAUGCAAGUCGAACGGUAACGCGGGGCAACCUGGCGACGAGUGGCGAACGGGUGAGUAAUGCAUCGGAACGUGCCCGGUAGUGGGGGAUAACUGCUCGAAAGAGCAGCUAAUACCGCAUACGACCUGAGGGUGAAAGGGGGGGAUCGCAAGACCUCUCGCUAUCGGAGCGGCCGAUGUCGGAUUAGCUAGUUGGUGGGGUAAAAGCCCACCAAGUGGACGAUCCGUAGCUGGUCUGAGAGGACGACCAGCCACACUGGGACUGAGACACGGCCCAGACUCCUACGGAAGGCAGCAGUGGGGAAUUUUGGACAAUGGACGCAAGUCUGAUCCAGCCAUGCCGCGUGCGGGAAGAAGGCCUUCGGGUUGUAAACCGCUUUUGUCAGGGAAGAAAUCUUCUGAGUUAAUACCUCGGGAGGAUGACGGUACCUGAAGAAUAAGCACCGGCUAACUACGUGCCAGCCGCCGCAGUAA
Molecule: ribosomal RNA, 498 nt
Filed under: uncultured bacterium
Lineage: Bacteria
Description: partial 16S ribosomal RNA
Rfam family: Bacterial small subunit ribosomal RNA
Source: RNAcentral